Molecule: ribosomal RNA, 236 nt
Filed under: uncultured Staphylococcus sp.
Lineage: Bacteria; Bacillati; Bacillota; Bacilli; Caryophanales; Staphylococcaceae
Description: partial 16S ribosomal RNA
Rfam family: Bacterial small subunit ribosomal RNA
Source: RNAcentral
GGGUGAGUAACACGUGGAUAACCUACCUAUAAGACUGGGAUAACUUCGGGAAACCGGAGCUAAUACCGGAUAAUAUAUUGAACCGCAUGGUUCGAUAGUGAAAGACGGUUUUGCUGUCACUUAUAGAUGGAUCCGCGCCGCAUUAGCUAGUUGGUAAGGUAACGGCUUACCAAGGCAACGAUGCGUAGCCGACCUGAGAGGGUGAUCGGCCACACUGGAACUGAGACACGGUCCAG